RNAcentral lists this ribosomal RNA (460 nucleotides) under uncultured bacterium. Its description in RNAcentral is "partial 16S ribosomal RNA". It matches the Rfam family "Bacterial small subunit ribosomal RNA", at positions 338 to 795 of the family's 1533-position model. The record is from RNAcentral.
CCUACGGGAGGCAGCAGUGAGGAAUAUUUGUCAAUGGUCGCGAGCCUGCACCAGCCACGUAGCGUGAAGGAUGACUGUCCUACGGGUUGUAAACUUCUUUUAUAAAGGAAUAAAGUGAGGCCCGUGUGCCUUUUUUUAUGUACUUUAUGAAUAAGGAUCGGCUAACUCCGUGCCAGCAGCCGCGUUAAUACGGAGGCUCCGAGCGUUCUCACGAUUUAUUUGGUUUAAAGGGAGCGUAGAUGGGUUGUUAAGGCCGUUGUGAAAGUUUGCGGCUCAACCGUAAAAUAGCAAUUGAUACUGGCAGUCGUGAGUAGAGUUGAGGUAGGCGGAAUUCGCGGUGUAGCGGUGAAAUGCUGAGAUAUCACGAAGAACUCCGAUUGCGAAGGCAGCUUACUAAACUGCCACUGACAUUGAUGCACGAAAGUGGGGGUAUCAAACAGGAUUAGAUACCCCUGUAGUC